ACGCUAGCUACAGGCUUAACACAUGCAAGUCGAGGGGAAACGGCAUUAAGUGCUUGCACUUUUUGGACGUCGACCGGCGCACGGGUGAGUAACGCGUAUCCAACCUUCCCAUGACUAAGGGAUAACCUGCCGAAAGGCAGACUAAUACCUUAUGGUCUUCACUGACGGCAUCAGAUGUGAAGUAAAGAUUUAUCGGUUAUGGAUGGGGAUGCGUCUGAUUAGCUUGUUGGCGGGGUAACGGCCCACCAAGGCAACGAUCAGUAGGGGUUCUGAGAGGAAGGUCCCCCACAUUGGAACUGAGACACGGUCCAAACUCCUACGGGAGGCAGCAGUGAGGAAUAUUGGUCAAUGGGCAAGAGCCUGAACCAGCCAAGUAGCGUGCAGGAUGACGGCCCUAUGGGUUGUAAACUGCUUUUGUAUGGGGAUAAAGUCAAUCACGUGUGAUUGUUUGCAGGUACCAUACGAAUAAGGACCGGCUAAUUCCGUGCCAGCAGCCGCGGUAAUACGGAAGGUCCGGGCGUUAUCCGGAUUUAUUGGGUUUAAAGGGAGCGUAGGCUGGAGAUUAAGUGUGUUGUGAAAUGUAGACGCUCAACGUCUGACUUGCAGCGCAUACUGGUUUCCUUGAGUACGCACAACGUUGGCGGAAUUCGUCGUGUAGCGGUGAAAUGCUUAGAUAUGACGAAGAACUCCGAUUGCGAAGGCAGCUGACGGGAGCGCAACUGACGCUGAAGCUCGAAGGUGCGGGUAUCGAACAGGAUUAGAUACCCUGGUAGUCCGCACAGUAAACGAUGGAUGCCCGCUGUUGGUACCUGGUAUCAGCGGCUAAGCGAAAGCAUUAAGCAUCCCACCUGGGGAGUACGCCGGCAACGGUGAAACUCAAAGGAAUUGACGGGGGCCCGCACA
RNAcentral lists this ribosomal RNA (903 nucleotides) under uncultured bacterium. RNAcentral describes it as "bacterial SSU rRNA". It matches the Rfam family "Bacterial small subunit ribosomal RNA", at positions 33 to 927 of the family's 1533-position model. The record is from RNAcentral.